RNAcentral lists this unclassified non-coding RNA (412 nucleotides) under soil metagenome. RNAcentral's name for it is "partial contains 5.8S ribosomal RNA, internal transcribed spacer 2, and large subunit ribosomal RNA". The stretch from base 1 to 122 matches the Rfam family "5.8S ribosomal RNA", at positions 35 to 154 of the family's 154-position model. The record is from RNAcentral.
GAUGAAGAACGUAGCGAAAUGCGAUACUUGGUGUGAAUUGCAGAAUCCCGUGAACCAUCGAGUCUUUGAACGCAAGUUGCGCCCGAAGCCGUCAGGCCGAGGGCACGCCUGCCUGGGCGUCACACGCCGUUGCCCCCCCGCGCCCCGCACCCAACUCUUUGGGAGCGACCGCGGGGCGGGCUGAUGAUGGCCUCCCGUGCGCUCCGCCGCGCGGUUGGCCCAAAUACCGAGUCCCCGGCGACGUGCGCCAUGACAAUCGGUGGUUGAGAGACCUCUGUCGCAAGUCGUGCGCGCCCGUCGCGUCACGCGGGCUCGCAUAGCGCCUCGCGCCGCACCCGGUGCGGAGCUUUCAACGCGACCCCAGGUCAGGCGGGGUUACCCGCUGAAUUUAAGCAUAUCAAUAAGCGGAGGA